This is a long non-coding RNA of Acipenser ruthenus (sterlet), 2099 nucleotides long. RefSeq lists it as uncharacterized. The record is from RefSeq and is a predicted model, not a curated record. The transcript is spliced from 3 exons. Lineage: Eukaryota; Metazoa; Chordata; Actinopteri; Acipenseriformes; Acipenseridae.
CUCUGAAUGAUAGAACUCCCACACUGUAUUCUGGCGCGCGGAACAUACCUAUCAGGGAAAAAUUGGCGGUCAAAGGAAGUCACAGAAGACAACAGGAAGUAGAAUCCCUUAAGACAGUCGGAGAGAUCGGUCAAAAUAUUCAGGUUGGAGUCGACAGAAAGCUGUGUGGUAACGUUUUCAGGAACACGAAACAGUGAUCUCGGGGACCGGCGUUAAGAUUUCCUAAAGAAAGAAAAGCGAGCCAGAUGAGAAGAGAGUGAUGUGUGAAAUUUGUAAAGUCAGCUAUAAUUCUGUACAUUGAGCAAUACCACGAGCAUCGUUGUACAAAAGGAAAUGAUCAUGUAGAAGUACCAAAUGAAAGCUUGGAAGUAACAGAAAGCCUUAAAGUAGGUGAAAUGAGAGCACAGUCUGAAGAGAGUUCUGUCCAUGGUGGAUCAUCUACAAUUCAUACAGUUCCAUGUCCUGAAGCAGAAGACAUAGAGAGCAACAGGAGAAGAAUAUAUAGCCAAAUGAAAGAAACCUGAAAAGUGGACGGUAACCAAGAUGUGCCCAAAAAUGUAUCUGAUGAAGAUGUUUUGUCAUUCUUUCCUGUAUCUGAAUUUAAUAUUGAGAACCACUCUGACAGUGAAAAUGAAGAACAGUGGGAAGCAACUGCGGAAAAAGAGAUGGCUGUAAAUAUUGAAGAAGGAAUUUCUCAGGAUUUAGAUUAUGUAGCAGAACAGCUAUACGCAAGCCCAGCAACAGUUCAUGACAAAGUGCUGAGGUUUGUUAGAUGGUUAUGUCUUUUUUUGAUGGUGUGGCAGACACAUUUUUUUUAUUUCUGAUGUGGCAAUCGAUACAUGGUUACAAUUUUUUAAAGAUUUGCUGACUGUGUUUGCUGAACCAGGAGGUAUCCUUGGAUUGACACUUACUGUCUUGCCUUUCAUUUCCUCUUAUUCUCGCGUUGACGCACGUCUCUGAGCAGUCUGUCGCACUAUGUCUGUGGUUCGUUCAUUUCCUCUUAUUCUCUGAAGCAUAGGCAUGUGUUGACGCACGUCUCUGACCGGUCUGUCGCAUUAUGUCCGUGGUUCAUUCAUUUCCUCUUAUUCUCUGAAUCAUAGGCAUGUGUUGACGCACGUCUCUGAGUGGUCUGUCGCACUAUGUCUGUGGUUCGUUCAUUUCCUCCUUAUUCUCUGAAUCAUAGGCAUGUGUUGACGCACGUCUCUGACCGGUCUGUCGCAUUAUGUCCGUGGUUCAUUCAUUUCCUCUUAUUCUCUGAAUCAUAGGCAUGUGUUGACGCACGUCUCUGAGUGGUCUGUCGCAUUAUGUCCGUGGUUCAUUCAUUUCCUCUUAUUCUCUGAAUCAUAGGCAUGUGUUGACGCAUGUCUCUGAGCGGUCUGUCGCAUUAUGUCCGUGGUUCAUUCAUUUCCUCUUAUUCUCUGAAUCAUAGGCAUGUGUUGACGCACGUCUCUGAGCGGUCUGUCGCAUUAUGUCCGUGGUUCAUUCAUUUCCUCUUAUUCUCGCGUUGACGCACGUCUCUGACCGGUCUGUCGCACUAUGUCCGUGGUUCGUUCAUUUCCUCUUAUUCUCUGAAUCACAGGCAUGUGUUGACGCACGUCUCUGAGUGGUCUGUCGCAUUAUGUCCGUGGUUCAUUCAUUUCCUCUUAUUCUCUGAAUCAUAGGCAUGUGUUGACGCAUGUCUCUGAGCGGUCUGUCGCAUUAUGUCCGUGGUUCAUUCAUUUCCUCUUAUUCUCUGAAUCAUAGGCAUGUGUUGACGCACGUCUCUGACCGGUCUGUCGCACUAUGUCUGUGGUUCGUUCAUUUCCUCUUAUUCUCUGAAUCAUAGGCAUGUGUUGACGCACGUCUCUGAGCGGUCUGUCGCAUUAUGUCCGUGGUUCGUUCAUUUUCUCUUUAAUGCCAAUCAAAGUGUCUGUUGCACUGGUUUGUUCAUUCUGCUGUCUUCAGUGUGUGUGGUGUGUUAUGUUUUUUUUUUGUGAGUGUUCAAGUUGUUUUGUUUAAAUUGUUUGUUUGUUUGUUUAUUUGGCUUAUUAAUAAAUACACACACUGGUGCUUGCACCUGCCAUCUCCUGUCUCUGAGGUUAUGUUUGUUAUUUUUAUUA